GCGGAAGUGGCUCAGUGGUAGAGCAUCGCCUUGCCAAGGCGAGGGUCGCGGGUUCGAACCCCGUCUUCCGCUCCA
RNAcentral lists this transfer RNA (75 nucleotides) under Paenibacillus larvae. RNAcentral's name for it is "tRNA-Gly(gcc)". It matches the Rfam family "tRNA". Rfam says of the family: Transfer RNA (tRNA) molecules are approximately 80 nucleotides in length. Their secondary structure includes four short double-helical elements and three loops (D, anti-codon, and T loops). Lineage: Bacteria; Bacillati; Bacillota; Bacilli; Caryophanales; Paenibacillaceae. RNAcentral also lists the same sequence under 11 other names. The record is from RNAcentral.